This 460-nucleotide ribosomal RNA is filed under the name uncultured bacterium. RNAcentral's name for it is "partial 16S ribosomal RNA". It matches the Rfam family "Bacterial small subunit ribosomal RNA", at positions 338 to 795 of the family's 1533-position model. The record is from RNAcentral.
CCUACGGGAGGCAGCAGUGAGGAAUAUUGGUCAAUGGACGAGAGUCUGAACCAGCCAAGUCGCGUGAAGGAUGACUGCCCUAUGGAUUGUAAACUUCUUUUAUAAAGGAAUAAAACGAGGCACGUGUGCCUUUUUGCAUGUACUUUAUGAAUAAGGAUCGGCUAACUCCGUGCCAGCAGCCGCGGUAAUACGGAGGAUCCGAGCGUUAUCCGGAUUUAGUGGGUUUAAGGGGAGCGUAGAUGGGUUGUUAAGUCAGUUGUGAAAGUUUGCGGCUCAACCGUAAAAUUGCAAUUGAGACUGGCAGUCUUGAGUACAGUUGAGGUAGGCGGAAUUCGUGGUGUAGCGGUGAAAUGCUUAGAUAUCACGAAGAACCCCGAUUGCGAAGGCAGCUUACUAAACUGUGACUGACAUUGAUGCUCGAAAGUGUGGGUAUCAAACAGGAUUAGAUACCCCAGUAGUC